GAUGAACGCUAGCGGCAGGCUUAAUACAUGCAAGUUGAGGGGCAGCAUGAUAUACGCGAGUAUAUUGAUGGCGACCGGCGGACGGGUGAGUAAUAGGUAGGAGACCUACCUCAUACAGGGGGAUAGCAUAGAGAAAUCUGUGGUAAUACCCCAUGAGGUUAUAUGAAUAGAGGCAUAUAAUCAAAGCAUAAGCGAUUAUGCGGUAUGAGAGGGGCCUACUGACCAUUAGCUAGUUGGUGAGGUAAGGGCUCACCAAGGCGAAGAUGGUUAGGGGUUUUGAGAGAGAGACCCCCCACAUUGGAACUGAGAGACGGUCCAGACUCCUACGGGAGGCAGCAGUAGGGAAUAUUGGGCAAUGGGCGAAAGCCUGACCCAGCCAUGCCGCGUGAAGGAAGACGGCCUUAUGGGUUGUAAACUUCUUUACUACGCGAAUAGAGGUUAGUACGAGAUACUAAUAGGAAGUAGUGUAGUAAAAGCAACCGGCUAACUCCGUAGCC
Molecule: ribosomal RNA, 497 nt
Filed under: uncultured bacterium
Lineage: Bacteria
Description: bacterial SSU rRNA
Rfam family: Bacterial small subunit ribosomal RNA
Source: RNAcentral